GUGAAGGAGCUGGAAAUCAAAACAGCAACAGCUUGCUCUUUUUAAUGGCGAAAUCUAAUGCACACAUCUGAAACAUGUGUUUUUUAGAGUGACAGAUGGCUACUGCAAAAUCUUGAAGUAUCACACUUCUGUAAUUACCGCUGAAAGGAAUAACACAUGAUUGAUAUUCCAGAAAAUGUGAUGGGCACGUAUAUGUGAACCCGCCUUUUUAUGACAUCGGUCGCUAUGGAAGAAGUAAUAGAACUAAAAGAACCCCUUCAAAGAGUGAAAGAUACAGAAGCGGAGGAUGAGGUAACAAAGAAAUCAGAAAAACAAAAGGCAUCCGAAAGUGGUGGUAAAAUUAUUUGGAGAGGCGCGAACUCCAUGAUGACAUUAUUUUUCAUAAUGGCAUCUGGAGUACAGUUCAACGAUCCAGAUCCAUUUUUGUGGGUGCCUCUAUAUGGAACGGCAGCCAUCUUGACGGCUUGUAUAGCUAUCAGACCUAAUCUUAGUGGUCAUAAACGGUGGCGUUUUCUGUACUGGUUGCAUGCCGUGUUUUGCUUAGGCAUGUUCUGCUAUGCUUUUGUGGAACUGGUGAUAGCUGCAGUAAACCCGGAAUCUGAUGGUUCACUCAAUCCUCUCACUUAUGAGGAAGGAAGGGAAAUGGCUGGAGUUCUGAUUACAACCAUAUGGCUUUUCACGUGCAAGCAGUCCCCUACGAUCAAGUGUAUAUUUCCUCGUUGGUGUAUUUGUUGCAAAUCGAAACCACCGAACCUGUCAAAUGCUCCUACUGUUUACAUGGAAAUGGGCCAAUCCUCUUUGCUGUCUUCUGCCUCUGAAAUUUAGCUAGGCUAUUCGACAUUAAAAUGUAUGUUCAGAUUGUUUGUGCAAAGCUAUGGAUUCGAUCUAACUGAUCUGAUUCCUCCACAAGAAAGAAGAAAGGACAAAGCACGAUUACAAUCUUCAUUGUCAUCUUCAGUUUCCUUCCGUUGUUAUUGUGGGCUUUAUGCUACUCCAAUGUGUUAAAUGCAACUUAUUUUUCU
This 1022-nucleotide unclassified non-coding RNA is filed under the name Stegodyphus dumicola. RNAcentral's name for it is "transmembrane protein 220-like, transcript variant X3". The record is from RNAcentral. Lineage: Eukaryota; Metazoa; Arthropoda; Arachnida; Araneae; Eresidae.